Molecule: ribosomal RNA, 470 nt
Filed under: uncultured bacterium
Lineage: Bacteria
Description: bacterial SSU rRNA
Rfam family: Bacterial small subunit ribosomal RNA
Source: RNAcentral
UCUGUGAUCCUACGGGAGGCAGCAGUGGGGAAUAUUGCACAAUGGGCGCAAGCCUGAUGCAGCCAUGCCGCGUGUAUGAAGAAGGCCUUCGGGUUGUAAAGUACUUUCAGCAGUGAGGAAGGUGGUAGUGUUAAUAGCACUAUCAUUUGACGUUAGCUGCAGAAGAAGCACCGGCUAACUCCGUGCCAGCAGCCGCGGUAAUACGGAGGGUGCGAGCGUUAAUCGGAAUUACUGGGCGUAAAGCGCAUGCAGGUGGUUUGUUAAGUCAGAUGUGAAAGCCCGGGGCUCAACCUCGGAAUUGCAUUUGAAACUGGCAGACUAGAGUACUGUAGAGGGGGUAGAAUUUCAGGUGUAGCGGUGAAAUGCGUAGAGAUCUGAAGGAAUACCGGUGGCGAAGGCGGCCCCCUGGACAGAUACUGACACUCAGAUGCGAAAGCGUGGGGAGCAAACAGGAUUAGAUACCCUGGUAG